Non-coding RNA from Pimephales promelas (fathead minnow), 1704 nucleotides. The record is from RefSeq and is a predicted model, not a curated record. Lineage: Eukaryota; Metazoa; Chordata; Actinopteri; Cypriniformes; Leuciscidae.
UGUCCUCCAUCACUCCAUUUCCUUUGAUUCUAUUUCUCCUUGAGGACGGACUUGGGCCUUCUUGCAGAGCGUAUCUCUUGGUCUCUCAUCCUCCGUCUCUCCACCCUUCUUUGAAAAGAAGAAGAGGUGAGCAAGGAUCAAGAAGCAACAUAAAGAAGAAAGCCCAAGAACACCUGCGAUAUUCCUUGAUCCCACUCCCACAUGGAAGCAAAAGCUAAAGGAGCGCCGAAGUCUGCCUCCAAAGCAGAGAAGAAGGAGGCAGCCCCACCGCCGAAGCCAGACCCCGUCUCUGCCGAACCCGCGGAACCCGAGAAGCCCGCGGAAGAUGGAGCCACCGACCAACAGGGGGCGACGGAGUCGGCAGGAAGUAGCUGUGGCUGUGAAGCCUUAGAAAGUUUGAAGCCUUUCCUGAUUGGAGGAGCUGUCAUCGCCCUUGGAGCUGUAUUGGUGGGCGUAAUCGUAUUAGCCAAGAAAAACUGACCCGAGACCUGUGAUUGGUUGUUAAAUGGCGGGGGUUGAUUAGUUCACAGACUAUUAAAGUUUAUAUAAGGGGGGUGUUGAGUCACUAGGUGUCUUAAUUUUAAGCUGUGCUUUAAUUUCAGAGUUUGUUACCGCCAGCUAAAGCAAGCUAGAGAUGCAUUUAGGCCAAACACUUUUUUCACAUAGCAUUCAACACAGUUCCAUAUCUAUGUCCUCAACUAGUCACUUCUGCCUGCUGGUUCAAUGAUCAAACUACAUCAUCGUCCAUGCCAUAAUGAUGACGUGAAUACAGUUAUACAAAAGUUUUUUCCAAGCUGGUCUCAAAACCCAUAACUGCCAAUUGUAAGAUAAGACAAUAUUAAAGUGCAUUCAUGAUUCAAGGUUAACAAAACAGAGGUUUUCUGGAGUUUAUGGAAAUUAAAUGCUAUUUAUAUAAAGCAAUUGGUUUCAUAUUCAAAUGCUAAUGCAAAUCCAUGUGUACAAGUACAUGGCUCUAACAUCUAUUGCAGUUAGGCCUGUAUUGUUGAGAGAUGGUGUAGAAAUAAUUGCAGUAAAUGAUCUGUGUUCAUCAUCUGUCAUCAUCCCCAACCAAAAGUAAGUCAUUCUAUAAUUCAGUAACCUUGCCUGUGGACUGCAUAGCGCCAUUUCAAAAUCUUUUUUGUUUUGUUUGUUUGUUUGAACGAUGUUGAUGAUUUUCUGAAGCUGGCCAAUGGAAAUAGAUGUGUGAUGCAAUAUAGAUGCAACGUAGAUUAUGACGGCUUUUGUCCAACAGCUUCAAUUUCACAGUUACACUAUGAUGAGCGCUCUUACACAACAGAAACAAUCCCUAAAUGCAUGCAGACACGAACAAUAUACACUUACACGUCACAUGACAUACUGUUACGGAAAAUGACAUUUUCUUUAAAGUGCGUAUAUAAUGCAAUAAUUCCAAUAGAACUCUGUAUUUAAAAGAAAGAAGACUAUUUAUUAGUUGUGAUACUGAUGGUAAUGAUGUUGAUGAUGAUGUGGCAACAUGGUGGUUGUCUUGGUGGUGGUGGUGGUGAUUAUGAUGAAUGAUUAUGAUUUUAUUUGUUGAAGUUAACCUAUCCCUCUGUGUCUCUUCCCUUCUGCCAUAUGUAUUUUACACACACCCUCGCCCGCUGCCUUUCUGCUGUUCCUCGUGUGAAAUAAAGUAAGAUGGCUCCCUUGUGACUUGAUGGCCUUAUUAAAGGACAAUGAACUAUA